CGGGGAUUGGCGCAGAUGGCUAGCGCGCACGCCUGGGGGGCGUGAGGUCACCAGUUCAAGUCUGGUAUCCCCGACCA
RNAcentral lists this transfer RNA (77 nucleotides) under Candidatus Roizmanbacteria bacterium RIFCSPHIGHO2_02_FULL_43_11. Its description in RNAcentral is "tRNA-Pro". RNAcentral also lists the same sequence under 1 other name. Lineage: Bacteria; Candidatus Roizmaniibacteriota. The record is from RNAcentral.